GGAGAGUAUGUUUGCAAUAAUGAAACUCAAAGGAAUUGAUAGGGGUCGCACAAGCAGUGAAGCAUGUGGUUUAAUUUGAUGCAAAGUAAAGAACAAUUUCCGGGCUUGACAUGCUGUGAAUCCUCUUGAAAGAGAGGGUGCCUUCAGGAACACAAACACAAGUGGUGCAUGACUGUGAUCAGCUCGUGCCACAAGGUGUUGGAUUAAGUCCCGCAACGAGCGUAACCAUAUUGUUUAGUUGCUAAGAUUGAGUUUGAAACCCUAAGCAGAAUGUCGGUGAUAAGUCGGAACAAGGUGAGGAUAAUGUCAAGUCAUCAUGUCCUUUAUGCCUUGAACGACACACAUGCUACAAUGGAUGAAAUAAAAGAUCGUAAUCUUGCAAGGAUGAACUAAUUCCAUAAAAUAUACUCCAAUUAUAAUUCUGUAGUAAAUGAAUUUUGCGAUACAAUCCUAGUGAUAGAAUUACA
Vigna angularis (adzuki bean) is the source of this 467-nucleotide ribosomal RNA. It matches the Rfam family "Bacterial small subunit ribosomal RNA", at positions 875 to 1387 of the family's 1533-position model. The record is from Rfam. NCBI's taxonomy places the organism in Eukaryota, Viridiplantae, Streptophyta, Magnoliopsida, Fabales, Fabaceae.